This 145-nucleotide ribosomal RNA is filed under the name uncultured eukaryote. RNAcentral's name for it is "partial small subunit ribosomal RNA". It matches the Rfam family "Bacterial small subunit ribosomal RNA", at positions 1383 to 1525 of the family's 1533-position model. The record is from RNAcentral.
GUACACACCGCCCGUCACACCAUGGGAUUUGGAUUCACCCGAAGGCACUGCGCUAACCCGCAAGGGAGGCAGGCGACCACGGUAGGGUCAGCGACUGGGGUGAAGUCGUAACAAGGUAGCCGUAGGUGAACCUGCAGAAGGAUCA